AACGCGAAGAACCUUACCUACCCUUGACAUGGAAGGAAUCCCUGAGAGAUUGGGGAGUGCUCGAAAGAGAACCUUUACACAGGUGCUGCAUGGCUGUCGUCAGCUCGUGUCGUGAGAUGUUGGGUUAAGUCCCGCAACGAGCGCAACCCUUGUCAUUAGUUGCUACGAAAGGGCACUCUAAUGAGACUGCCGGUGACAAACCGGAGGAAGGUGGGGAUGACGUCAAGUCCUCAUGGCCCUUAUGGGUAGGGCUUCACACGUCAUACAAUGGUACAUACAGAGGGCCGCCAACCCGCGAGGGGGAGCCAAUCCCAGAAAGUGUAUCGUAGUCCGGAUUGCAGUCUGCAACUCGACUGCAUGAAGUUGGAAUCGCUAGUAAUCGCGGAUCAGCAUGUCGCGGUGAAUACGUUCCCGGGCCUUGUACACACCGCGAGC
RNAcentral lists this ribosomal RNA (435 nucleotides) under uncultured bacterium. RNAcentral describes it as "bacterial SSU rRNA". It matches the Rfam family "Bacterial small subunit ribosomal RNA", at positions 958 to 1397 of the family's 1533-position model. The record is from RNAcentral.